RNAcentral lists this ribosomal RNA (441 nucleotides) under uncultured bacterium. Its description in RNAcentral is "partial 16S ribosomal RNA". It matches the Rfam family "Bacterial small subunit ribosomal RNA", at positions 339 to 795 of the family's 1533-position model. The record is from RNAcentral.
CUACGGGGUGCUCCAGUGGGGAAUAUUGGGCAAUGGGCGCAAGCCUGACCCAGCAACGCCGCGUGAGGGAAGAAGGUUUUCGGAUUGUAAACCUCUGUCCUUGGGGACGAAGAAGUGACGGUACCCAAGGAGGAAGCUCCGGCUAACUACGUGCCAGCAGCCGCGGUAAUACGUAGGGAGCAAGCGUUGUCCGGAAUUACUGGGCGUAAAGGGUGCGUAGGCGGCAUAUUAAGUCAGGUGUGAAAUACUCGGGCUCAACCCGGGGGCUGCAUUUGAAACUGGUAUGCUUGAGUGUGAGAGAGGAAAGUGGAAUUCCUAGUGUAGCGGUGGAAUGCGUAGAUAUUAGGAGGAACACCAGUGGCGAAGGCGACUUUCUGGCUCAUAACUGACGCUGAGGCACGAAAGCGUGGGGAGCAAACAGGAUUAGAUACCCUAGUAGUC